CCUACGGGAGGCAGCAGUGGGGAAUUUUGGACAAUGGGCGCAAGCCUGAUCCAGCCAUUCCGCGUGAGUGAAGAAGGCCUUCGGGUUGUAAAGCUCUUUCGCAAGGGAAGAAACGAUUCAUCCUAAUACGGUGAGUUAAUGACGGUACCUUGAUAAGAAGCACCGGCUAACUACGUGCCAGCAGCCGCGGUAAUACGUAGGGUGCGAGCGUUAAUCGGAAUUACUGGGCGUAAAGCGUGCGCAGGCGGUUUUGUAAGUCAGAUGUGAAAUCCCCGGGCUCAACCUGGGAACUGCGUUUGAAACUACAAGGCUAGAAUAUGUCAGAGGGGGGUAGAAUUCCACGUGUAGCAGUGAAAUGCGUAGAGAUGUGGAGGAAUACCAAUGGCGAAGGCAGCCCCCUGGGAUAAUAUUGACGCUCAUGCACGAAAGCGUGGGGAGCA
Molecule: ribosomal RNA, 440 nt
Filed under: uncultured bacterium
Lineage: Bacteria
Description: bacterial SSU rRNA
Rfam family: Bacterial small subunit ribosomal RNA
Source: RNAcentral